GACGACGCUGGCGGCGUGCUUAACACAUGCAAGUCGAACGGUGAAGGGGCCUGCUUUUGUGGGUCCUGGAUGAGUGGCGAACGGGUGAGUAACACGUGAGUAACCUGCCCCCUUCUUCUGGAUAACCGCAUGAAAGUGUGGCUAAUACGGGAUAUUCUGUGCCUGCUGCAUGGUGGGUGUGGGAAAGAUUGCGCCCUUUUUGGGUGUUUUUGGUGGGGGAUGGGCUCGCGGCCUAUCAGCUUGUUGGUGGGGUGAUGGCCUACCAAGGCGGUGACGGGUAGCCGGCCUGAGAGGGUGGACGGUCACACUGGGACUGAGACACGGCCCAGACUCCUACGGGAGGCAGCAGUGGGGAAUAUUGCACAAUGGGCGCAAGCCUGAUGCAGCGACGCCGCGUGAGGGAUGGAGGCCUUCGGGUUGUGAACCUCUUUCGCCAGUGAAGCAGGCCUGCUCCUUGGUGGGUGGGUUGACGGUAGCUGGAUAAGAAGCGCCGGCUAACUACGUGCCAGCAGCCGCGGUAAUACGUAGGGCGCGAGCGUUGUCCGGAAUUAUUGGGCGUAAAGAGCUCGUAGGCGGCUGGUCGCGUCUGUCGUGAAAUCCUCUGGCUUAACUGGGGGCUUGCGGUGGGUACGGGCCGGCUUGAGUGCGGUAGGGGAGGCUGGAACUCCUGGUGUAGCGGUGGAAUGCGCAGAUAUCAGGAAGAACACCGGUGGCGAAGGCGGGUCUCUGGGCCGUUACUGACGCUGAGGAGCGAAAGCGUGGGGAGCGAACAGGAUUAGAUACCCUGGUAGUCCACGCCGUAAACGUUGGGCACUAGGUGUGGGGGGCCUUUUCCGGGUUUUCCGCGCCGUAGCUAACGCAUUAAGUGCCCCGCCUGGGGAGUACGGCCGCAAGGCUAAAACUCAAAGGAAUUGACGGGGGCCCGCACAAGCGGCGGAGCAUGCGGAUUAAUUCGAUGCAACGCGAAGAACCUUACCAAGGCUUGACAUGUGCCGGUCGGCUCCGGAGACGGGGUUUCCUCCUUGUGGGGCCGGUUCACAGGUGGUGCAUGGUUGUCGUCAGCUCGUGUCGUGAGAUGUUGGGUUAAGUCCCGCAACGAGCGCAACCCUUGUCUCGUGUUGCCAGCACGUUGUGGUGGGGACUCGCGGGAGACUGCCGGGGUCAACUCGGAGGAAGGUGGGGAUGACGUCAAAUCAUCAUGCCCCUUAUGUCUUGGGCUUCACGCAUGCUACAAUGGCCGGUACAGAGGGCUGCGAUACUGUGAGGUGGAGCGAAUCCCUUAAAGCCGGUCUCAGUUCGGAUCGGUGUCUGCAACUCGACACCGUGAAGUUGGAGUCGCUAGUAAUCGCAGAUCAGCAACGCUGCGGUGAAUACGUUCUCGGGCCUUGUACACACCGCCCGUCACGUCAUGAAAGUCGGCAACACCCGAAGCCCGUGGCCUUAUGGGGAGCGGUCGAAGGUGGGGCUGGUGAUUGGGACGAAGUCGUAACAAGGUAGCCGUACCGGAA
Molecule: ribosomal RNA, 1508 nt
Filed under: Actinomyces sp. A11
Lineage: Bacteria; Bacillati; Actinomycetota; Actinomycetes; Actinomycetales; Actinomycetaceae
Description: bacterial SSU rRNA
Rfam family: Bacterial small subunit ribosomal RNA
Source: RNAcentral